CCUACGGGUGGCAGCAGUGAGGAAUAUUGGUCAAUGGACGAGAGUCUGAACCAGCCAAGUAGCGUGAAGGAUGACUGCCCUAUGGGUUGUAAACUUCUUUUAUAUGGGAAUAAAAUGUUCCACGUGUGGGAUUUUGUAUGUACCAUAUGAAUAAGGAUAGGCUAACUCCGUGCCAGCAGCCGCGGUAAUACGGAGGAUCCGAGCGUUCUCCGGAUUUAUUGGGUUUAAAGGGAGCGUAGGUGGAUUGUUAAGUCAGUUGUGAAAGUUUGCGGCUCAACCGUAAAAUUGCAGUUGACACUGGCAGUCUUGAGUACAGUAGAGGUGGGCGGAAUUCGUGGUGUAGCGGUGAAAUGCUUAGAUAUCACGAAGAACUCCGAUUGCGAAGGCAGUUCACUGGACUGCAACUGACACUGAGGCUCGAAAGUGUGGGUAUCAAACAGGAUUAGAUACCCGGGUAGUC
RNAcentral lists this ribosomal RNA (460 nucleotides) under uncultured bacterium. RNAcentral's name for it is "partial 16S ribosomal RNA". It matches the Rfam family "Bacterial small subunit ribosomal RNA", at positions 338 to 795 of the family's 1533-position model. The record is from RNAcentral.